CCUACGGGUGGCAGCAGUGGGGAAUAUUGCACAAUGGGGGAAACCCUGAUGCAGCGACGCCGCGUGAGUGAAGAAGUAUCUCGGUACGUAAAGCUCUAUCAGCAGGGAAGAAAAUGACGGUACCUGACUAAGAAGCAGCGGCUAACUACGUGCCAGCAGCCGCGGGAAUACGUAGGGGGCAGGCGUAAUCCGGAGUUACUGGGUGUAAAGGGGGCGUAGACGGCAGCACAAGUCUGGAGUGAAAUCCCGGGGCUUAACCCCGGAACUGCUGUGGAAACUGGGCGGCUGGAGUGCAGGAGGGGUAAGCGGAAUGCCUAGUGUAGCGGUGAAAUGCGUAGAUAUUAGGAGGAACACCGGUGGCGAAGGCGGCUUACUGGACUGUAACUGACGUUGAGGCUCGAAAGCGUGGGGAGCAAACAGGAUUAGAUACCCUAGUAGUC
RNAcentral lists this ribosomal RNA (440 nucleotides) under uncultured bacterium. RNAcentral describes it as "partial 16S ribosomal RNA". It matches the Rfam family "Bacterial small subunit ribosomal RNA", at positions 338 to 795 of the family's 1533-position model. The record is from RNAcentral.